GUGUGUAUAGCUCAGUGGUAGAGCACUUGCCUAGCUGGCAGGAGGUCCUGGGUUCAAUCACUUGUACCACA
RNAcentral lists this transfer RNA (71 nucleotides) under Marmota marmota marmota (Alpine marmot). It matches the Rfam family "tRNA". From Rfam's summary of the family: Transfer RNA (tRNA) molecules are approximately 80 nucleotides in length. The record is from Rfam by way of RNAcentral. RNAcentral also lists the same sequence under 1 other name. Lineage: Eukaryota; Metazoa; Chordata; Mammalia; Rodentia; Sciuridae.